Molecule: small nucleolar RNA, 174 nt
Organism: Mangifera indica (mango)
Lineage: Eukaryota; Viridiplantae; Streptophyta; Magnoliopsida; Sapindales; Anacardiaceae
Product: small nucleolar RNA U3
Exons: 1
Source: RefSeq, a predicted model, not a curated record
ACGACUUUACUUAAACAGGAUUUGUUCUACAGGCUCGUACCACUGUAUCCUUUCGUCCUAAGGGGACAUAUUACCAAGUCUGUUAGAUGAAUCUUGACCGCGAGAUCAGAGCGUCAUUGACAACUUCGGUGAUCUGCGGUCACCGGCACCGGGGGUGGUGUUGUCCGGCGGACC